Molecule: long non-coding RNA, 1419 nt
Filed under: Linum usitatissimum (flax)
Lineage: Eukaryota; Viridiplantae; Streptophyta; Magnoliopsida; Malpighiales; Linaceae
Description: long non-coding RNA (LUSI_LNC004696)
Source: RNAcentral
CAUGGAGUAGUAGUAAGUGCAUUAGAUUUCAUACAUUUCCAUCAAAUUGAAACUCUUAAAGAGUUGUUUAGAUGAGGUAUUUGGAUGAUUUAUUUUGGCUCAAAUACCUCAUUCUGAGUUAUCGGGACAAUGGUAUUUGAAAUAUUAGCUUGCAAACCGAACAAAAGUCUUAAUUCAAAGAACAAACUAAAUACAAACCAAUGAAUCAAAAUGAAAAACAUAUGCAAGGAGUUGGGAGUCACCCAAACUCUCUCUAAACCCUAGUGGUAGCGGUUAAACCUUCCUGCUGCAACUAGUAAAAGUUUCUUCUCUGCAGAAGUACUUCGUUGCUGCUGCAACUCAUCGAGAACAAUCUGAUUCUUCCGGCACUCACGGGAGCAAAAUGCGCCCAAGUAACUGCAUAAUAGCAUUAUGAGACAAGUAACAUUUUCCUUUAUGUCGGAUGAAAGCAAAGAAUAUAGUACUGACCCAAAAUCAAUGCAAUGGUCGACAAUAUAAGAUUACAGCCAAAUCCAUUGUAGGAUUCACAAAAUAAAUCGUAGCUUCUGACAACCUUGCUAAAUACAAAUUUGAUAUAGGGUGGAUAUUCGACCAAUGUCAUCCAAAAAUCAACAUCGUUUUGUGAAACAAAACGUAUGCUAUGUGAUCUUAUCAAAUAUCUUCGAAGGGAUAUGCUUUUGCUACAUAAUGUCGAUCACAAAUAGAGGGUUUUUUCGAAGUUUGUCAAACCAAACAAGAUUAGUUUAAAGAUGAAUACUAAGAAGAAUUCUUGCCGUCUUUAUACUAACAUACAGAAAACUCUCCAAAGGUGGAUGUGAUGAAAUUCAAACAAAGUCAAUGUAAGAUAGUCUUUAAGAUUCAACAUUAUCAUUCAAAUAAGAAAAUUUUCUCCAUUUUUCUUUCUCUCUUGAUGGACAAAAGAAAAUUACAGUUGAAUAUGUAUACAUAUAAUCUUAUCUUCCUCAAUUCCAUCACUUGGAGUUCGACGCAAACAACUUUGAGAAGAAUUCUGAUCCGAAAGCCAAAACACACAAACAAUCUUCAUCAGGUUUUGAACAGGAAAAUUAACGAACGUAAAUAAAUAUUUUUUUUACCUUUUUUCUCGCAAAUAUAAAGUACAUACCUAUAAUCGGUUUGUUAUAGCAUGAGGUUGAACAACUCAUUUGGCAAAAUUCACGAUUCUCGUUAUGAUGCGACUCAUUGCAUUCAUCUUCACAAGGUCGGCGGCAACCUAUUGAGCCACCGUCCGCGGCCGAAACUGUAUCAAUCACUAAUGCCGAUGUAAAAUACACGAUGAUUAUAAUUGAUGCCACAACUUUUGAACUCGCCAUUUCUUAAUUUCUCUUUCUCGUUCUCCUCCUUUCUUAAUUUAUCCGGUAAAUGAUCCUUUUGCUCAAUUAUAUUUAUAAAGAAAAUGAU